UACGUAGGGGGCAAGCGUUGUCCGGAAUCAUUGGGCGUAAAGAGCGUGUAGGCGGUUCGGUAAGUCGGCUGUGAAAGUCCAGGGCUCAACCCUGGGAUGCCGGUCGAUACUGCCGGACUAGAGUUCGGAAGAGGCGAGUGGAAUUCCCGGUGUAGCGGUGAAAUGCGCAGAUAUCGGGAGGAACACCUAUGGCGAAGGCAGCUCGCUGGGACGUUACUGACGCUGAGACACGAAAGCCAGGGGAGCAAACGGG
RNAcentral lists this ribosomal RNA (253 nucleotides) under uncultured bacterium. Its description in RNAcentral is "partial 16S ribosomal RNA". It matches the Rfam family "Bacterial small subunit ribosomal RNA", at positions 524 to 776 of the family's 1533-position model. The record is from RNAcentral.